CGGCCUAGGCCACCGGGGUGCAACGCAGGAAAAUAAAAAUAAGGUAAAAAAAACACACGAGAAAAAACUAAUACGGGUUUCCACAAAAAUCAUCCCAAAACGACCACUAUUUUCUUUAAAGCAAAAUGAUAUUUAUUUACAACGCAAGGCGCCAAACUAUUUACAACGGGGGGGGAAGAAGAUCGCGACCAUGACAACUGACACACAGGGCUUAAAUACAUGGAGGGAACAAUCAGGGAAUGGACAACAGGAGGGAAACACAGCUGGGGCAAAUCAGAACUGACGAGACAGGGAAAAUGUAAACUGAACACACUAAGAUGACACAGACUUUCAAAGUAAAGUAGGAAACACAUAACAGUCACGCAAAAACAACACAUUACCAACGCCAAAUCGUCAAUCCCGGAGGAGCACCUAGACACUCAAAUCCACACACAAUUACGGUCACAGCCGUAACACCCCCUUACCCAAGAAUUAACAUUAACCCCAAAAUGUUUAAUUCAAGGAAACACCCAAAAAAAACAAACAUUUAAAACAUACAACCCCAACGAAAAAUGUUUGUUCCAUGUCCAGCCCAUACGGCACCGGCCACCGUCCCGCAGGCGACGCUGAUGACUGGACGGGUCCUCCAGUGGAAACGGAAAACCGGAGCGGGCCCUCGGAUCCUCCAGCGAAGACAAACGAAGCCGAUGAAGGCUGGAGCGGUCCCUCGGACACUCCAGCGAAGGCGGAUGAAGGCUGGAGCGGUCCCACGGACCCUCCAGCAGACGACGAAGGCUGAGGCGGUCCCUCGGACCCCCCAGCGAAGGCAAAUGAAGACUGAAGCGGUCCCACGGACCCUCCAGCGGAGGCAGAUGAAACUGAUGGAGGCUGGAGCGGUCCCCCUGACCCUCCAGCAGACGACGAAGGCUGAGGCGGUCCCUCGGACCCCCCAGCGAAGGCGGAUGAAGGCUGGAGCGGACCCACGGACCCUCCAGCGACGGCGGACGGCUGAAGCGGUCCUCGGACCCCACAGUGAUUGGACGAGCCCCCAUAUGUUACACCCCGGCCUAGGCAACCGGGGUGCAACGUAGAAAAACAAAGAUAAGAAAAAGACACACGAGAAAAAAAACUAAAGCUCUCCACCAAAAUCC
This is a long non-coding RNA of Astatotilapia calliptera (eastern happy), 1130 nucleotides long. Lineage: Eukaryota; Metazoa; Chordata; Actinopteri; Cichliformes; Cichlidae. The record is from Ensembl.